This 497-nucleotide ribosomal RNA is filed under the name uncultured bacterium. RNAcentral describes it as "partial 16S ribosomal RNA". It matches the Rfam family "Bacterial small subunit ribosomal RNA", at positions 28 to 507 of the family's 1533-position model. The record is from RNAcentral.
GACGAACGCUGGCGGCGUGCCUAAUACAUGCAAGUUGAGCGCUGAAGGUUGGUACUUGUACCAACUGGAUGAGCAGCGAACGGGUGAGUAACGCGUGGGGAAUCUGCCUUUGAGCGGGGGACAACAUUUGGAAACGAAUGCUAAUACCGCAUAAAAACUUUAAACACAAGUUUUAAGUUUGAAAGAUGCAAUUGCAUCACUCAAAGAUGAUCCCGCGUUGUAUUAGCUAGUUGGUGAGGUAAAGGCUCACCAAGGCGAUGAUACAUAGCCGACCUGAGAGGGUGAUCGGCCACAGUGGGACUGAGACACGGCCCAAACUCCUACGGGAGGCAGCAGUAGGGAAUCUUCGGCAAGAGACGGAAGUCUGACCGAGCAACGCCGCGGGAGUGAAGAAGGUUGUCGGAUCGUAAAACUCUGUUGGUAGGGAAGAACGUGGGUGAGAGUGGAAAGCUCAUCAAGUGACGGUAACUACCCAGAAAGGGACGGCUAACUACGUG